GAUUGAACGCUGGUGGCAUGCUUUACACAUGCAAGUCGAACGGUAACAGGCCUUCGGGUGCUGACGAGUGGCGAACGGGUGAGUAAUGCAUCGGAACGUGCCCAGAGGUGGGGGAUAACGCAGCGAAAGCUGUGCUAAUACCGCAUGUGAUCUGAGGAUGAAAGCGGGGGACCAAGCAGCAAUGUUUGGCCUCGCGCCUCUGGAGCGGCCGAUGUCAGAUUAGGUAGUUGGUGGGGUAAAGGCCUACCAAGCCGACGAUCUGUAGCUGGUCUGAGAGGACGACCAGCCACACUGGGACUGAGACACGGCCCAGACUCCUACGGGAGGCAGCAGUGGGGAAUUUUGGACAAUGGGCGCAAGCCUGAUCCAGCAAUGCCGCGUGCGGGAAGAAGGCCUUCGGGUUGUAAACCGCUUUUGUACGGAACGAAAAGGCUCUGGCUAAUACCUGGGGCUGAUGACGGUACCAUAAGAAUAAGCACCGGCUAACUACGUG
This 493-nucleotide ribosomal RNA is filed under the name uncultured bacterium. RNAcentral describes it as "partial 16S ribosomal RNA". It matches the Rfam family "Bacterial small subunit ribosomal RNA", at positions 27 to 507 of the family's 1533-position model. The record is from RNAcentral.